GAUGAACGCUGGCGGCGUGCCUAAUACAUGCAAGUCGAGCGAACGGACGAGAAGCUUGCUUCUCUGAUGUUAGCGGCGGACGGGUGAGUAACACGUGGAUAACCUACCUAUAAGACUGGGAUAACUUCGGGAAACCGGAGCUAAUACCGGAUAAUAUUUUGAACCGCAUGGUUCAAAAGUGAAAGACGGUCUUGCUGUCACUUAUAGAUGGAUCCGCGCUGCAUUAGCUAGUUGGUAAGGUAACGGCUUACCAAGGCAACGAUGCAUAGCCGACCUGAGAGGGUGAUCGGCCACACUGGAACUGAGACACGGUCCAGACUCCUACGGGAGGCAGCAGUGAGGAAUAUUGGACAAUGGGUGGGAGCCUGAUCCAGCCAUUCCGCGUGCAGGAAGAAGGUCUUAUGGAUUGUAAACUGCUUUUAUAUAGGGAUAAACCUACUCUCGAGAGGGUAGCUGAAGGUACUAUAUGAAUAAGCACCGGCUAACUCCGUGCCAGCAGCCGCGGUAAUACGGAGGGUGCAAGCGUUAUCCGGACUUAUUGGGUUUAAAGGGUCCGUAGGCGGGUUAUUAAGUCAGUGGUGAAAUCCCAUAGCUCAACUAUGAAACUGCCAUUGAUACUGAUAGUCUUGAGUAUAUUUGAAGUAGCUGGAAUAAGUAGUGUAGCGGUGAAAUGCAUAGAUAUUACUUAGAACACCAAUAGCGAAGGCAGGUUACUAAGAUAUUACUGACGCUGAGGGACGAGAGCGUAGGGAGCGAACAGGAUUAGAUACCCUGGUAGUCUACGCUGUAAACGAUGCUAACUCGUUUUUGGUAUUUAGGUAUCAGAGACUAAGCGAAAGUGAUAAGUUAGCCACCUGGGGAGUACGCUCGCAAGAGUGAAACUCAAAGGAAUUGACGGGGGCCCGCACAAGCGGUGGAUUAUGUGGUUUAAUUCGAUGAUACGCGAGGAACCUUACCAAGACUUAAAUGGGAAUUGACAGCUAUAGAGAUAUGGUUUUCUUCGGACAAUUUUCAAGGUGCUGCAUGGUUGUCGUCAGCUCGUGCCGUGAGGUGUUAGGUUAAGUCCUGCAACGAGCGCAACCCUUGUCACUAGUUGCCAUCAUUAAGUUGGGGACUCUAGUGAGACUGCCUACGCAAGUAGAGAGGAAGGUGGGGAUGACGUCAAAUCAUCACGGCCCUUACGUCUUGGGCCACACACGUAAUACAAUGGGCGAUACAGAGGGCAGCUACACAGCGAUGUGAUGCGAAUCUCGAAAGUCGUUCUCAGUUCGGAUUGGAGUCUGCAACUCGACUCUAUGAAGCUGGAAUCGCUAGUAAUCGCGUAUCAGCCAUGACGCGGUGAAUACGUUCCCGGGCCU
This 1358-nucleotide ribosomal RNA is filed under the name uncultured bacterium. RNAcentral's name for it is "bacterial SSU rRNA". It matches the Rfam family "Bacterial small subunit ribosomal RNA", at positions 28 to 1381 of the family's 1533-position model. The record is from RNAcentral.